CAACCCUCAAGCUCUGCUUGGUAUUGAGCUCUUGCCAGUGAUGGCAGGCUCUAAAAUCAGUGGCGGUGCCGUUGGGUCCUGAGCGUAGUAAUACUUCUCGCUACUGGAUUCCCGCGUGCGUCUUGCCAUAACCCCAAAUUUUUCUUA
RNAcentral lists this unclassified non-coding RNA (147 nucleotides) under uncultured Lambertella. RNAcentral describes it as "sequence contains ITS2". The record is from RNAcentral. Lineage: Eukaryota; Fungi; Ascomycota; Leotiomycetes; Helotiales; Rutstroemiaceae.